AGAGUUUGAUCAUGGCUCAGAGCGAACGCUGGCGGCAGGCUUAACACAUGCAAGUCGAGCGGGCGUAGCAAUACGUCAGCGGCAGACGGGUGAGUAACGCGUGGGAACAUACCUUUUGGUUCGGAACAACACAGGGAAACUUGUGCUAAUACCGGAUAAGCCCUUACGGGGAAAGAUUUAUCGCCGAAAGAUUGGCCCGCGUCUGAUUAGCUAGUUGGUGAGGUAAUGGCUCACCAAGGCGACGAUCAGUAGCUGGUCUGAGAGGAUGAUCAGCCACAUUGGGACUGAGACACGGCCCAAACUCCUACGGGAGGCAGCAGUGGGGAAUAUUGGACAAUGGGCGCAAGCCUGAUCCAGCCAUGCCGCGUGAGUGAUGAAGGCCCUAGGGUUGUAAAGCUCUUUUGUGCGGGAAGAUAAUGACGGUACCGCAAGAAUAAGCCCCGGCUAACUUCGUGCCAGCAGCCGCGGUAAUACGAAGGGGGCUAGCGUUGCUCGGAAUCACUGGGCGUAAAGGGUGCGUAGGCGGGUCUUUAAGUCAGGGGUGAAAUCCUGGAGCUCAACUCCAGAACUGCCUUUGAUACUGAAGAUCUUGAGUUCGGGAGAGGUGAGUGGAACUGCGAGUGUAGAGGUGAAAUUCGUAGAUAUUCGCAAGAACACCAGUGGCGAAGGCGGCUCACUGGCCCGAUACUGACGCUGAGGCACGAAAGCGUGGGGAGCAAACAGGAUUAGAUACCCUAGUAGUCC
This 744-nucleotide ribosomal RNA is filed under the name uncultured bacterium. RNAcentral's name for it is "bacterial SSU rRNA". It matches the Rfam family "Bacterial small subunit ribosomal RNA", at positions 8 to 796 of the family's 1533-position model. The record is from RNAcentral.